AGAAACUCAAAUGAAUUGACGGGGGCCCGCACAAGCGGAGGAGCAUGUGGUUUAAUUCGAUGAUACGCGAGGAACCUUACCUGGGCUCGAACGUAAGAUGACUGUAGGUGAAAGCUUACAUCUCUUCGGAGCAUUUUACGAGGUGCUGCAUGGUUGUCGUCAGCUCGUGCCGUGAGGUGUCGGGUUAAGUCCCAUAACGAGCGCAACCCCUACCCUUAGUUGCCAUCAGGUAAUGCUGGGGACUCUAAGGAUACUGCCCCGGUUAACGGGGAGGAAGGUGGGGAUGACGUCAAGUCAGUAUGUCCCUUACGUCCAGGGCUACACACGUGUUACAAUGGCCGGUACAAUGAGUUGCGACCCUGCAAAGGUAAGCCAAUCUCAAAAAACCGGUCUCAGUUCGGAUUGCAGUCUGCAACUCGACUGCAUGAAGUUGGAAUCGCUAGUAAUCGUAGAUCAGCACGCUACGGUGAAUACGUUCCCGGGCCUU
Molecule: ribosomal RNA, 487 nt
Filed under: uncultured Sphingobacteriales bacterium
Lineage: Bacteria; Pseudomonadati; Bacteroidota; Sphingobacteriia; Sphingobacteriales
Description: bacterial SSU rRNA
Rfam family: Bacterial small subunit ribosomal RNA
Source: RNAcentral